Molecule: long non-coding RNA, 683 nt
Organism: Gymnogyps californianus (California condor)
Lineage: Eukaryota; Metazoa; Chordata; Aves; Accipitriformes; Cathartidae
Exons: 3
Source: RefSeq, a predicted model, not a curated record
AGGAACGCCGCUGACCUUGGCAGGACUGCAUACUUCUUUGGAGAUAAGCCAAACCUUUUGGAUUUGGACCAGAAUGGCCACUUUUGUGGAGGCAGAUAUAUCUGUGGAGAGAAGGAAAGUAGCGCGUAUCCUGGUCACGCUGUUUUCCCAGGGAAAACAAUAAUGCAAGAUAUCCACAGCUUUGUGUUAUUGCCUUAAUUUUGGAGAUGAGAAAGGAGAACAGAGAAGGAAUGUCACUUGUCCCUGAUGAUACAGCCAUUGUCAGACCCAUGAGGGGGGCUCUGAAAUGCCUUGCUCUUAGUCUUGUUCUCAUUCCUCUGGGUUACAAAGACGUGACAGAUACAGUACAUGUUCUGUUCUUACACUCUGCAUAGCAAAAUCAGACAAAUAGGAAGACUCUUUGAACAUGAAAACUGAAGACUGAAUAAUCCAGACAUGUACUUUCUGCUGUUUUCUUUAUUUUUUAAUGAAAAAAGUGUUUAUUUAAACUCUGAGAUAAAUCCUGUCUAUCUGCCACUAGGUUAAAUCCGAUUUGAUUUCCUCAAUUCUUCUCUGUAUAGGCUUUUUUUCUCAGCUUGUAUUACACUGGAUAACAGUAGAAUUACCAUCACAUAAUGUUAGUCUAAAAAUACAUGUACCAUUAUUAUUAUCAAAUAGAGAUAAGUGUGCGUUGCCAAGUAAAA